GUGAUUACUUGAUAGGGUUUAGUUUUUGGACGAUUAGGAUUGCCAUUGGAGCCACGUUCUAUGAAGCCAUAGACAUAGCAAUAUUUGAGAAAGAUGGUAGAUUGUCUUUAGAUUGCAACUACAUUUUCACCUUGUUUAUUCUAUAUACCCUCAUGUAAAAUUGAAAUGAAUAUGUCUGGCAUUUUUAAUUUUGAGUUUAGUUUAUGGAAGAUUUGAGUUUACAUUGGAUUAGAAUUUAUAUUUCUGUGUAGGAUAUAUUGAUUAUGGCUAGGGUUUAGUUUAUGGAAGAUUGAGGUUGACAUUGGAACAAUUAUUACCACUUUCAUAUUGUGAUAUUUGGAUUAUGGUUUAUAUUCUCCUGUUUGGUUUAGUGAUUUACUUGAUAGAGUUUAGUUUAUGGACGAUUUGGAUUGACAUUGGGGCAAGCAGUACCACGUUCCAUAGCCAUAUCAACAUAGUCAUUUCAUAAUUUCACUAGUAUGUACUAUGCUAUUUAUUUUGUUUCAUUCUAUUUGGAUUUAAGGUUAAUAUUUUAGUAAUGAUUCAUGUACAUA
This 554-nucleotide long non-coding RNA is filed under the name Brassica napus (rape). RNAcentral describes it as "long non-coding RNA (BNAP_LNC015804)". Lineage: Eukaryota; Viridiplantae; Streptophyta; Magnoliopsida; Brassicales; Brassicaceae. The record is from RNAcentral.